CACGUAGGGUGCGAGCGUUGUCCGGAAUUAUUGGGCGUAAAGAGCUCGUAGGCGGUGUGUCGCGUCGGCCGUGAAAACCUGCAGCUUAACUGUGGGCUUGCGGUCGAUACGGGCAUCACUGGAGUUCGGCAGGGGAGACUGGAAUUCCUGGUGUAGCGGUGAAAUGCGCAGAUAUCAGGAGGAACACCGGUGGCGAAGGCGGGUCUCUGGCCCGAUACUGACGCUGAGGUGCGAAAGCGUGGGGAGCAAACAGG
This 254-nucleotide ribosomal RNA is filed under the name uncultured bacterium. Its description in RNAcentral is "partial 16S ribosomal RNA". It matches the Rfam family "Bacterial small subunit ribosomal RNA", at positions 524 to 776 of the family's 1533-position model. The record is from RNAcentral.